UUCUAUCUGUAGCGGGUGCUUCUUGCAGAAUGUUGUGAAUCUAAGCUAAUCAAACAAUAUCCAAUUGAAAAUUGUUUAUACUAGCCAAGAGACAUGUCGCAAUUUGUUCAUUUGAACGAAUUCUUCUCCUAUGACUAUUUCCUUUAACUACAGACUCAAACAAUAAUUAAAGGUAUCAAGAAAAAUGCUGGGAGAAAAGCCAACUUAAUUGUACUCUCCAGAAUAAUUGUUUUUGACUUCCAGCUUGCCCCCAUUGUGAUGUUUUUUUGGAAAAAGAAAUGAAAAUCGAUAUCAGACGCCAACCAUUUUCAAACAAGUAGAAAUUAUAAUCUGGCAAACUCUUUAUUACUUCAUAAAGUUGUGGACUACCUGGGCUUAUAAAACUCUAAGCUCCUCAAAGAGAUUGAUUUAGAAGUUCAACUCCCCUCAGGCUACCAUGCAAAGAGAAGUCCCAGCCACGUGCCACGUGAAGAGACCCUGGGGGCUGCAGUGCCAGGCAGAGAACCCAGGAGAGCGGGGACAUCAGGCACAUGAGGAAAUACGCCACCUUGGGAGUGUAGGUUCCGGGCCUCACUGCCCCAAGCAAAGCCAGGAGGACACGUUAUCAGCACAGUCCUCCCCAAACUCCUUACCUGUAAGGGCUGGAGGAAGGGAACAUUCCCGCCGGCCAAACUUUCCUGUUUUCUGUAUCUGGCCCUCCAUCACCAACAAACUUUCCCACCCCUCAGCAUUUGGCGCCCCUGCCAAAGUUGAACAGAAACAGCGAACUUCAUUGGCCAGGCAAGGACGCAUGGCGAGCACCUGUUGGACAAUGGCCCUUUAAGGAUGAGCAGCGCCCACCCUGGGCGUGACUCCCUUGGCCUCUGACCAGACCCAGGGACCUGACC
Tupaia belangeri chinensis (Chinese tree shrew) is the source of this 887-nucleotide long non-coding RNA. RefSeq lists it as uncharacterized. The record is from RefSeq and is a predicted model, not a curated record. The transcript has 4 exons. NCBI's taxonomy places the organism in Eukaryota, Metazoa, Chordata, Mammalia, Scandentia, Tupaiidae.